AGUCACGUGGGAGGACAAUGGUGAGAAGAGGGAACCUAAGAAUUCCUGGACUCUGACUGGGCGUGAGAAAUGGCCGGAAGUAGCUUCGAGUCCGUCAUUCAAGCAGUAGAGGCUCUGGAGAAAAACUGGAGCGCAUCUGCUUAAAGGGCCGCCCAGGGUCAGGAUGGAGGGGCAAAGUCCGAGCAGGGUCAGUGGGUUGCUGCUCCGUUUUCCUGUCCUGGGUUCAAGUCACCCUUCCCCCAGGGCUAAGGGCUCAGCGCCCCUACCGUCUCGUUAGAAAUCCUGCCUUCCCAUUCCUAUGGUCCAGUGGUCAGCCCUCCUAGCCUGAGAGGUGCAGCCUUGCCUCUCCGAGGGGAAGCCUGACUCUCCCGAUGGCCAGCCUGGGGCCCCUGGACGGCUCUCCGGGCACUUUCUGAACACACCUCCCUUUAGGACCCAGGGGAAAUAAUUUGUCCCACGCCCAUACCCUGGGCGAGUUCCUGGUUUCUGAGGUGGGAGAGCCAUCACUGGAGAGGUGGCAUUGGCGCCAGUACUCAGGCCAGAAGCCCCUUGUGCCCUGCUCUCAGGGGUUUCCUCCCAUAUUGGAUCACGAUGAAAACUGCACAGAAAGUCCGUGCUCAGUUUCUUCCAUGGUUACAGAACACAGGCCCCAGACCAGGAAGGCAUUCUGCUAAAGAAGGGGACCCGAAACCUCAGCUACCAGCGCCGAUGGUUCAUCCUCCGAGGAAACCUCCUCUUCUACCUAGAACACUAGACCGACCAUGCACCCCUGAGCCUCAUCCUGUUAGAGAACUGCCAGGUGGAACCACACCUUAAGGCUGCAGAACCCUAUGCCUUUACCAUCCUGACCCCUGGGGUGGAGGGCACAGGUGGGCGGGCCUACAAGCUGGCUGCAGAAACCCAGGAAGAGCUGGAGACUUGGCUGUGGGCACUGGCUGGCGCGAGCUGGAGGCGGCUGGCUGGGCUGCUGUCCCCCCUCCCCCCCCACCAAAACCCAAUACUGGGAGCUGUGCCAGGCAACUGGCCAAGAACCCAUCUCAUCCCCAGAGGACAGUGGCUUUCUAGCCACUGUGAGUACCCCCUCCAGCUUCCAGGAGUUGCAUGAGCACUUUGGGAAGGAGAUCCGGGUGCUGCACGUGGUACAUAGAGAGCUCCAGGCAGCCAGUGACAAUGGAGACAGCAGAUCCCAGGCAAAGAUGGAGCAGGAGCUCAACCAGUGUCUGAUGAGUGACUGAGAGAUGGACCCAAAGCUAAGAGGUACCUACUUGCCAAGACAGCAGACUGCUUCAACAGAGACCCAGGUCCUGGCUCUGUCCCUCCCUCCCUCGUCCUUACCCCAUCCCCCCCUCAUCAAAUAACAAGGCAGAAAACAGGCCCAGGUACAACAGCAGGUUCUUUUCCAAUUCCUCAAAGCGCUGCAUGGGGUGGGGGCAGAGACAGAAGAGAAUGUAAACAUUGGGUUCCACCCCCUGGAGCUCAAGGGAAGACCCUUACCCAGAUAGGGACUAACU
RNAcentral lists this long non-coding RNA (1511 nucleotides) under Homo sapiens (human). RNAcentral describes it as "non-protein coding lnc-MYLPF-1:6". The record is from RNAcentral. Lineage: Eukaryota; Metazoa; Chordata; Mammalia; Primates; Hominidae.